RNAcentral lists this ribosomal RNA (427 nucleotides) under uncultured bacterium. RNAcentral describes it as "partial 16S ribosomal RNA". It matches the Rfam family "Bacterial small subunit ribosomal RNA", at positions 355 to 774 of the family's 1533-position model. The record is from RNAcentral.
UGGGGAAUAUUGGACAAUGGGCGAAAGCCUGAUCCAGCCAUGCCGCGUGUGUGAAGAAGGUCUUCGGAUUGUAAAGCACUUUAAGUUGGGAGGAAGGGCAUUAACCUAAUACGUUAGUGUUUUGACGUUACCGACAGAAUAAGCACCGGCUAACUCUGUGCCAGCAGCCGCGGUAAUACAGAGGGUGCAAGCGUUAAUCGGAAUUACUGGGCGUAAGGCGCGCGUAGGUGGUUUGUUAAGUUGGAUGUGAAAUCCCCGGGCUCAACCUGGGAACUGCAUUCAAAACUGACUGACUAGAGUAUGGUAGAGGGUGGUGGAAUUUCCUGUGUAGCGGUGAAAUGCGUAGAUAUAGGAAGGAACACCAGUGGCGAAGGCGACCACCUGGACUAAUACUGACACUGAGGUGCGAAAGCGUGGGGAGCAAACA